UACAGAGGGGGCAAGCGUUAUUCGGAAUUAUUGGGCGUAAAGGGCGCGUAGGCGGCUUCGCAAGUGACGGGUGAGAUCCCUCGGCUUAACCGAGGAACUGCCUGUCAAACUGCGUGGCUUGAGACCAGGAGAGGUGAGUGGAAUUCCCAGUGUAGCGGCGAAAUGCGUAGAUAUUGGGAGGAACACCAGUGGCGAAGGCGGCUCACUGGACUGGUAAUGACGAUGAGGCGCGAAAGCGUGGGGAGCAAAAAGG
RNAcentral lists this ribosomal RNA (253 nucleotides) under uncultured bacterium. Its description in RNAcentral is "partial 16S ribosomal RNA". It matches the Rfam family "Bacterial small subunit ribosomal RNA", at positions 524 to 776 of the family's 1533-position model. The record is from RNAcentral.